CAGGGAGACAACAAAAUGUUUAAUAUUAUUAUUUUGUCACCUUAGGUCGAUCGGUAUCUCACGUUUUUAAUUUAUUAAGAAUUUCAUUUCCUAAGUUUUUCUAGGUCACACCCAUUAUUUUUCCUGGGCCAUUAGCUCAGGUGGUUAGAGCGCACCCCUGAUAAGGGUGAGGUCCCUGGUUCAAGUCCAGGAUGGCCCAUAUCUCUAUGUUGGGGGUAUAGCUCAGUUGGUAGAGCGCCUGCUUUGCAAGCAGGAUGUCAGCGGUUCGAGUCCGCUUACCUCCACUGAUUACCACCUCUUCCAUAACCGGUAGAAAGGAAAUGUUUUGAGUUGUGAUCAAAUUCUGAAAGAAUCUAGCUUCCUAAUGAAAUCAUUAAGAUGCUGGACACAUUGAAUUUAUUUCAUUGUUUUCAGAGAACCUUGACAACUGCAUAGAUUAUUUUUAAAGACAAUAAGCAUCUUUAAUGAUGCAGAUUUAUUAUUUGUGCGAAUGCAUUAAUAACAAUUCUAUUAAGCUGAUGCUUCAUUUUUGAAGUUAUU
RNAcentral lists this transfer RNA (540 nucleotides) under uncultured cyanobacterium. Its description in RNAcentral is "partial contains 16S ribosomal RNA, 16S-23S ribosomal RNA intergenic spacer, and 23S ribosomal RNA". The stretch from base 212 to 284 matches the Rfam family "tRNA". The record is from RNAcentral. Lineage: Bacteria; Bacillati; Cyanobacteriota.